Molecule: ribosomal RNA, 419 nt
Filed under: uncultured Prevotella sp.
Lineage: Bacteria; Pseudomonadati; Bacteroidota; Bacteroidia; Bacteroidales; Prevotellaceae
Description: bacterial SSU rRNA
Rfam family: Bacterial small subunit ribosomal RNA
Source: RNAcentral
GGAAUAUUGGUCAAUGGGCGAGAGCCUGAACCAGCCAAGUAGCGUGCAGGAAGACGGCCCUAUGGGUUGUAAACUGCUUUUAUACGGGGAUAAAGUGAGGGACGUGUCCCUUAUUGUAGGUACCGUAUGAAUAAGGACCGGCUAAUUCCGUGCCAGCAGCCGCGGUAAUACGGAAGGUCCGGGCGUUAUCCGGAUUUAUUGGGUUUAAAGGGAGCGCAGGCCGAUGGUUAAGCGUGACGUGAAAUGUAGCCGCUCAACGGCUGAACUGCGUCGCGAACUGGCUGUCUUGAGUGAGUUCGAUGUGGGCGGAAUUCGUGGUGUAGCGGUGAAAUGCUUAGAUAUCACGAAGAACUCCGAUUGCGAAGGCAGCUGACUGUAGCGUUACUGACGCUGAAGCUCGAAGGUGCGGGUAUCGAACA